Ictidomys tridecemlineatus (thirteen-lined ground squirrel) is the source of this 80-nucleotide non-coding RNA. The record is from Rfam. NCBI's taxonomy places the organism in Eukaryota, Metazoa, Chordata, Mammalia, Rodentia, Sciuridae.
GCUGAUGCUGGCGGUGAUGCCGAUGGUGCACGCUGGAAAUGGCUUACUCCGUCAUCGUUGUCAUCAUCAUCAUCAUCAUC